RNAcentral lists this ribosomal RNA (512 nucleotides) under uncultured bacterium. RNAcentral's name for it is "bacterial SSU rRNA". It matches the Rfam family "Bacterial small subunit ribosomal RNA", at positions 28 to 526 of the family's 1533-position model. The record is from RNAcentral.
GACGAACGCUGGCGGCGUGCUUAACACAUGCAAGUCGUGCGGAAAGGCCCCUUUGGGGGUGCUCGAGCGGCGAACGGGUGAGUAACACGUGAGUAAUCUGCCCUCUACUUCGGGAUAACGCUUCGAAAGGGGUGCUAAUACCGGAUGUUCACGCCUGCCUGCAUGGGGUGGUGUGGAAAGCCUGUCCUUUUGGGGGCGGGUGGUGGGGGAUGAGCUCGCGGUCUAUCAGCUUGUUGGUGGGGUAAUGGCUUACCAAGGCUUUGACGGGUAGCCGGCCUGAGAGGGUGACCGGUCACACUGGGACUGAGACACGGCCCAGACUCCUACGGGAGGCAGCAGUGGGGAAUAUUGGACAAUGGGCGGAAGCCUGAUCCAGCAACGCCGCGUGGGGGAUGACGGCCUUCGGGUUGUAAACCUCUUUCACCAUUGGCGAAGGCCUGCGCGUGUGUGUGGGUUGACGGUAGGUGGGGAAGAAGCACCGGCCAACUACGUGCCAGCAGCCGCAGUAACAC